UGGGGAAUAUUGCACAAUGGAGGGAACUCUGAUGCAGCGACGCCGCGUGAACGAAGAAGGCUUUCGAGUCGUAAAGUUCUUUUAUAUGGGAAGAUAAUGACGGUACCAUAAGAAAAAGCCCGGCUAACUACGUGCCAGCAGCCGCGGUAAUACGUAGGGGGCUAGCGUUGUCCGGAAUCACUGGGCGUAAAGGGUUCGCAGGCGGAAAUGCAAGUCAGGUGUAAAAGGCAGUAGCUUAACUACUGUAAGUAUUUGAAACUGCAUAUCUUGAGAAGAGUAGAGGUAAGUGGAAUUUUUAGUGUAGCGGUGAAAUGCGUAGAUAUUAAAAAGAAUACCGGUGGCGAAGGCGACUUACUGGGCUCAUUCUGACGCUGAGGAACGAAAGCGUGGGUAGCAAACAGG
This 402-nucleotide ribosomal RNA is filed under the name bacterium. Its description in RNAcentral is "partial 16S ribosomal RNA". It matches the Rfam family "Bacterial small subunit ribosomal RNA", at positions 355 to 776 of the family's 1533-position model. The record is from RNAcentral.